RNAcentral lists this ribosomal RNA (694 nucleotides) under uncultured bacterium. RNAcentral describes it as "bacterial SSU rRNA". It matches the Rfam family "Bacterial small subunit ribosomal RNA", at positions 32 to 715 of the family's 1533-position model. The record is from RNAcentral.
AACGCUAGCUACAGGCUUUACACAUGCAAGUCGAGGGGUAACGAAAGGGAAGCUUGCUUUCCUUGUCGACGACCGGCGCACGGGUGAGUAACGCGUAUCCAACCUGCCCACCACUUGGGGAUAACCUUGCGAAAGUAAGACUAAUACCCAAUGAUAUCUCUAGAAGACAUCUGAAGGAGAUUAAAGAUUUAUCGGUGAUGGAUGGGGAUGCGUCUGAUUAGCUUGUUGGCGGGGUAACGGCCCACCAAGGCUACGAUCAGUAGGGGUUCUGAGAGGAAGGUCCCCCACAUUGGAACUGAGACACGGUCCAAACUCCUACGGGAGGCAGCAGUGAGGAAUAUUGGUCAAUGGGCGAGAGCCUGAACCAGCCAAGUAGCGUGCAGGAUGACGGCCCUAUGGGUUGUAAACUGCUUUUAUAAGGGAAUAAAGUGAGCCUCGUGAGGCUUUUUGCAUGUACCUUAUGAAUAAGGACCGGCUAAUUCCGUGCCAGCAGCCGCGGUAAUACGGAAGGUCCGGGCGUUAUCCGGAUUUAUUGGGUUUAAAGGGAGCGUAGGCCGGAGAUUAAGCGUGUUGUGAAAUGUAGAUGCUCAACAUCUGCACUGCAGCGCGAACUGGUUUCCUUGAGUACGCACAAAGUGGGCGGAAUUCGUGGUGUAGCGGUGAAAUGCUUAGAUAUCACGAAGAACUCCGAUUG